GGAGGGAUCAUUAACAUGUGAAAACAAACACAAACCAAACCGUGAACCAAAUUCAAACUUCAAACCGUGAACUAUAUAUUUUGUUUGUGAACUUUACUUUUUGUACCUCAAAACCACUCCACGCAAUGGAUAUCUUGGUUCUCGUAUCGAUGAAGAACGCAGCGAACUGCGAGAUGUGAUGCGAAUUGCAUAUGUCCGUGAAUCAUUGAAUCUUUGAACGCAACUGGCGCUCCGUAUCUUGCUACGGAGCACGUGCCCCUCAGUCUCGAUCUCCCACAAAUCUACCAUCUGUAUAGUUUCUACUAUAUAUGUAUGGAGUUACCGGGUCUGGGAUUGUACGAUCCCACUCCUGCUGGUUUCACUUGUACUGUUUCCAGGGAGUGUACCCUACACAGCUCUACUCACCAUCAUCCGUGUCUAACAUGUAUCGAUGUGUGUCUCUGUGUAGUAAGUACCUCUUGUGGUCACUACAUGAGAAUGAGUUUUUAUACGAGCUGAGUUGGCACGAGGUUACCCCCUGAAUUUAAGCAUAUUAGUAAGGGGAGGAGAAGAAACUAACUAGGACUCCCUCAGUAACGGCGAGUGAAGCGGGAUGAGCUCGAGCUUGAAAUCGGUCACUGAAGUUUCGGUGACUGAGUUGUAGCCGUGGGCACUAAGUUCGUCGAUACGCUGACGGGUCGCAGUCCCUUGGAAGAGGGCAUCAGAGAGGGUGAUAAUCCCGUUCAUGACGUCCGUCUGGCGUGUUGGCGAUUAACUUGGUUGCUUCGAGUCGAGUUGUUUGGGAUUGCAGCUCUAUGAGGUGGGAACGUCCAUCUAAAGCUAAGUAGUGACGAGAGACCGAUAGCGAACAAGUACCGUGAGGGAAAGAUGAAAAGCACUUUGAAAAGAGAGUGAGAUAGGACUUGAAGUUGCGUGGAGGGAAGCGGGCCCAUGGGGGAUGGCUGCACCCACCGACCCACUCUCCAAGAAGCGCUACACGAGGGUAGGUUCGUCCUCGUGACGGACUGGCACAUUGUGUAGCUGUGUUGGGAGUGGUCGGUGGUGUGUUCUAGCCUGGCACUAUGGGCCCGACCCGUCUUGAAACACGGACCAAGGAGUCUACCCUCCAGGCGAGCCCUCGGACUUACAAUGUCUGUUGGGCGAAGUGAAAGCGUUACUGAGUUGUCUCUCAGGGCCGGUGUUGCACUCUUGUCGUGCUGAUGCUGCGUUUUAGUCUGGCGGACAGGACCCGAAAGAUGGUGAUCUAUGCCUGAACAGGGUGAAGCCAGGGGAAACCCUGGUGGAGGCUCGUCGCGAUACUGACGUGCAAAUCGUUCGUCUGAUUUGGGGAUAGGGGCGAAAGACUACUCGAACCAUCUAGUAGCUGGUUCCUUC
RNAcentral lists this unclassified non-coding RNA (1374 nucleotides) under uncultured soil eukaryote. RNAcentral describes it as "sequence contains 18S rRNA gene, ITS1, 5.8S rRNA gene, ITS2, 28S rRNA gene". The stretch from base 491 to 1374 matches the Rfam family "Eukaryotic large subunit ribosomal RNA", at positions 1 to 961 of the family's 3401-position model. The record is from RNAcentral.